GAUAACCGCUGAAAGCAUCUAAGCGGGAAGCGAGCCCUGAGAUGAGUUUUCCCUGGCGCUUUAAGCGUCCUAAAGGGUUGUUCAAGACUAGAACGUUGAUAGGCAGGGUGUGUAAGCGCUGUGAGGCGUUGAGCUAACCUGUACUAAUUGCCCGUGAGGCUUAACCAU
Molecule: ribosomal RNA, 168 nt
Filed under: Vibrio sp. IB15
Lineage: Bacteria; Pseudomonadati; Pseudomonadota; Gammaproteobacteria; Vibrionales; Vibrionaceae
Description: partial 23S ribosomal RNA
Rfam family: Bacterial large subunit ribosomal RNA
Source: RNAcentral